AGCAGGACAGAGACACCAGCCCUGGGAAGCCACUAGGAUUUCUGCAGAGGGCCGUUUCCACAUCAGAAAACUGGGAACCCUUUGUGCACAUAACGCUUGACACGAAGAAGGACCUCGGAGCCAAGUGGGAACCAACACUGUUUAAAGCUGGCAGUGAGGUGUGCGGGCUCAUCUGUGGCCAAGUGCCCAGGAAAGAGAGGCAGCCCAGUAGAUCGUGCUUCCCGUGAGGGAGACUCGCUGCUGCCAAUGACAGACUCAAAACAUCGUGACCCGGCCACAGGAUCAUGGAGCUCUUCGCUCAUCGCUGUGGGUGCCGGGACGUUGCAUGUUUUUUCCCUUGCAGAGGCCAUCGCUGUGGGCGCCAGGACAUCUGUCCUUUGUGGGCAUGUUGAGGCUUCUCUGUGAAGGACCCACAUGAGGUGGAUCUGGAGCCAGCAGCCCUCCUGUGAGAACACUGGCCUGAGCCCCUCAAGCCGCCCCUCGUCUCUGAAUGGGGGUCAUUUUGGCCCUUGGUGGGCAGCUUCUUGGGAGAUGGUUUGGAAAUGGAGAUACUUUGUUGAAUAAACGAUUAUACUACAACUUCUGCUAUCUUCAGACAUACAUGGAAAUGCACCGCACAGAUCACACUGAUGUGGACACGCCCACCUCCUGCCAGCUGCUCGUGGUCAUGAUGUGGAUGAGGAGCUGAGUCACGAUGUGGACGAGGAGCUGAGUCGCGAUGUGGACGAGGAGCUGAGUCGCGAUGUGGACGAGGAGCUGAGUCCCGAUGUGGACGAGGAGCUGAGUCGCGAUGUGGAUGAGGAGCUGAGUCUUCUUUUACCCCUUUAAAGGGGGAAUGUGGGUUUCAGGAACACGUCAGCUUGGAGUCAUUUCUGUGUCUGAAUCUGCUUCAUACACACGUCUCCAAAUACUUAAAAUGAUUGAAAAAACCUUUGAAUAAAAGCUUGGGAAUUUCAUCUUG
RNAcentral lists this long non-coding RNA (961 nucleotides) under Homo sapiens (human). RNAcentral's name for it is "HSALNT0395365". Lineage: Eukaryota; Metazoa; Chordata; Mammalia; Primates; Hominidae. The record is from RNAcentral.